GGGCCCGCACAAGCGGUGGAGUAUGUGGUUUAAUUCGAUGCAACGCGAAGAACCUUACCAGGGUUUGACAUCCUGCGAAUCUCUUGGAAACAGGAGAGUGCCUUCGGGAACGCAGUGACAGGUGGUGCAUGGCUGUCGUCAGCUCGUGUCGUGAGAUGUUGGGUUAAGUCCCGCAACGAGCGCAACCCACGUCUUUAGUUGCCAUCAUUUAGUUGGGAACUCUAAAGAGACUGCCGGUGAUAAGCCGGAGGAAGGUGGGGACGACGUCAAGUCCUCAUGGCCCUUACGGGAUGGGCUACACACGUGCUACAAUGGCAGUGACAAUGGGUUAAUCCCCAAAAACUGUCUCAGUUCGGAUUGGAGUCUGCAACUCGACUCCAUGAAGUCGGAAUCGCUAGUAAUCG
Molecule: ribosomal RNA, 404 nt
Filed under: uncultured bacterium
Lineage: Bacteria
Description: bacterial SSU rRNA
Rfam family: Bacterial small subunit ribosomal RNA
Source: RNAcentral